Molecule: ribosomal RNA, 405 nt
Filed under: uncultured bacterium
Lineage: Bacteria
Description: bacterial SSU rRNA
Rfam family: Bacterial small subunit ribosomal RNA
Source: RNAcentral
UGAGGAAUAUUGCACAAUGGGCGCAAGCCUGAUGCAGCGACGCCGCGUGGGUGAUGAAGGCUUUCGGGUCGUAAAGCCCUUUUCUAGGUGACGAGUAAGGACGGUAGCCUAGGAAUAAGUGUCGGCUAACUACGUGCCAGCAGCCGCGGUAAAACGUAGGACACAAGCGUUAUCCGGAGUUACUGGGCGUAAAGAGCGCGUAGGCGGUUUGUUAAGUCUGCUAUGAAAGCACCUGGCUAAACUGGGUGAGGCUGGCGGAUACUGGCAAGCUCGAGUGAGACAGAGGCAGAUGGAAUUCCGCGUGUAGUGGUGAAAUGCGUAGAGAUGCGGAGGAACACCAGUGGCGAAGGCGGUCUGCUGGGUCUCAACUGACGCUGAGGCGCGAAAGCGUGGGUAGCGAACGGG